This 253-nucleotide ribosomal RNA is filed under the name uncultured bacterium. Its description in RNAcentral is "partial 16S ribosomal RNA". It matches the Rfam family "Bacterial small subunit ribosomal RNA", at positions 524 to 776 of the family's 1533-position model. The record is from RNAcentral.
UACGGAGGGGGCUAGCGUUGUUCGGAAUUACUGGGCGUAAAGCGCACGUAGGCGGCUUUGUAAGUUAGAGGUGAAAGCCCGGAGCUCAACUCCGGAAUAGCCUUUAAGACUGCAUCGCUAGAACGUUGGAGAGGUAAGUGGAAUUCCGAGUGUAGAGGUGAAAUUCGUAGAUAUUCGGAAGAACACCAGUGGCGAAGGCGACUCACUGGACAUGUAUUGACGCUGAGGUGCGAAAGCGUGGGGAGCAAACGGG